RNAcentral lists this ribosomal RNA (292 nucleotides) under uncultured bacterium. RNAcentral describes it as "partial 16S ribosomal RNA". The record is from RNAcentral.
GGACUACCGGGGUAUCUAAUCCUGUUUGCUCCCCUAGCUUUCGCGCCUCAGCGUCAGCAAUAGCCCAGAAAACCGUCUUCACCACUGGUGUUCUUCCACAUAUCUACGCAUUUCACCGCUACACGUGGAAUUCCGUUUUCCCUAGCUACACUCCAGUCUGGUAGUUUCAAAUGCAGCUCCGCAGUUGAGCCGCGGAAUUUCACAUUUGACUUGCCAGGCCGCCUACGCGCCCUUUACGCCCAAUAAUUCCGAUCAAUGCUUGCACCCUCCGUAUUACCGCGGCUGCUGGCAC